Molecule: ribosomal RNA, 433 nt
Filed under: uncultured bacterium
Lineage: Bacteria
Description: partial 16S ribosomal RNA
Rfam family: Bacterial small subunit ribosomal RNA
Source: RNAcentral
AGCGAACGCUGGCGGCAGGCCUAACACAUGCCAGUCGAACGAACUCUUCGGAGUUAGUGGCGGACGGGUGAGUAACACGUGGGAACGUGCCUUUAGGUUCGGAAUAACUCAGGGAAACUUGUGCUAAUACCGAAUGUGCCCUUCGGGGGAAAGAUUUAUCGCCUUUAGAGCGGCCCGCGUCUGAUUAGCUAGUUGGUGAGGUAAAGGCUCACCAAGGCGACGAUCAGUAGCUGGUCUGAGAGGAUGAUCAGCCACAUUGGGACUGAGGCACGGCCCAAACUCCUACGGGAGGCAGCAGUGGGGAAUCUUGCGCAAUGGGCGAAAGCCUGACGCAGCCAUGCCGCGUGAAUGAUGAAGGUCUUAGGAUUGUAAAAUUCUUUCACCGGGGACGAUAAUGACGGUACCCGGAGAAGAAGCCCCGGCUAACUUCGUG